GGGGCGUGGUCACUGUCGGGGAACGUGCAGUGUUUUGUAUGGCGCUCUAGCUGCCCUGCACUACAGAGCCCAGCACGCCCACACAGAAGAGGGACUACUACAGGCAAUCUUUUGAUUGGAAUUCAAGGAAGGACUGGUGGGGGAAGGGAAUCUCAGCUCCACUUGAAGUAAAAGAUUUUUCCCAGCUUGCAAUGCGGCCGAGACCCGACUCACUGACGCCCCCUGACGUGACACCCCCUGAUGAAGCGCUGUAGCGCGAAACGUACGCUGGGGUAAGUGCAGGUGGCAUCUGGCUAUACAUUGGUUUACUUUCAUUCACUUAUCCAUGCAUUUUGUAGUGCUCAUUACUGGUAUUCAUGUGUAUUUCACUAUUGUUAUGCAGCUCACUACAUGUAUGUGUUGUAAUCAGGCCUAUGCCCCUUGUAUUUUCUCAGUCCU
Hyla sarda is the source of this 438-nucleotide long non-coding RNA. RefSeq lists it as uncharacterized. The record is from RefSeq and is a predicted model, not a curated record. Lineage: Eukaryota; Metazoa; Chordata; Amphibia; Anura; Hylidae. The transcript has 3 exons.